CAGAGGCACGAUGCCUCUCAAUACCAGUUGCAAGGGAGCCACAGCAGGAGAGAGGGCCUGCUUUCACCUCUUGCUUGUGGGCUCCCAGAGGCAUCCUCUGCAACUGGUAUUGAGAGCCAUCUUGCCUCCGAGGUGGCUUACAGCCACCAGACUAGUAGCCAUGGAUAGCCCCUGUCCUCCAUGAAUUUGUCUAAGCCCCUUUUAAAGCCAUCCAAGCAAAUGGCCAUUGCCACAUCCUGUGGCAGAGAGUUCCAACGGCUAAUUAUGCACUGGGUGAAAAAGUCCAGGGAAUGUGGAACUCCAAAAUCCAGGGGAAGAGUCGAACGAGGAUCAUUCCAGAGACCUUUCUACAGAGAGAGUGGCAGCUCUUUGCCAAGGAAAUGAACCCAGCGAGGCCCAGGAAAGAGCACACUCCUCUUCACCUACCCCAAAUAUUUUGACCAGAUCCAUCUGGGACAAGAAACUGCGCUCCACAGCCUGGAGUGUUGAGUCAGGCAAGGCACAGAGUGCUUUCUGUAGGCCCUCUGCGGCCCCCGCAUCCUUUGUCACCAGGAACUUGGAGAGAACGGAAGCAUUACAGACAAUCCCCUUCAAGGGCGAGCCAGCAAGAGAAAACUGGGAGAGGAGAAAAGGAUAUUGGGUGUUUAGCCACAAACAGAACCUACGUGGGCUUGUUUCUUUUUAUUUUUCACUGGAAUCUCUCAUAUUUAGGAAGGCAAGACAUUUCUGUUCUCCGAUUCCCUCUUCGGUGCAAGGUACCCCCUAGCAUCGGCUGAGCUGCUCUGACAUCACGGAAUGUCCACCAGCACUGCAACUGCUCAGGGUGGGAGUUCUCAGCAAGCUUACAUGAGAGGAGCGAGAAGUAAAAAUCACAGGGAGAGAGAAACCUCACAAAGAAUCUGGAAGAGGAACUGUGCGUGGUGGACAGACAAGGAGGAAGUGGACUACCAAAAGGAGGGGAGAAAGAACGAGAGGCCAGGGCAUGGAAAUGAUUUGAACAAAUUAAAACAAUUGUUUUAAAAAAGGAAAAAUCACCAUUCUAAAGAUCUCCACUUUCUUAACACACAGAGAGAGAAAGAGUCUAGUCCUGAAAGCUACCCGAUCUAUGAAGCUGAUGCAUAAAAGGCGAAGGUGGGUCAGCACAGAGGGCUGCAGUAGGAUGAAGAGAUAACACUGCCCUUUGCAGAGUCAGACCAUUCGGCCGUUUAACUAAGUACUGCCUGCUGGCAGCAGCAACCCAACUGGGGAUGCAAGGGAGGGAACCGUGGAACAUUUGCAUGAAAAGCACAUAUUGUACCAGAGUGCUACUCAGUCUGGGAGAGGAUUUGAACCCACUACCCAACUGGAAGCAGGAAAGGCCUGGCUGCUCACCACCAAGGCUGCUCUGAGGGGAGGAGAGCUGGUCUGGUGGCAGCAAGCAUGGAUUGUCCCCUUUGCUGCUAAGCAGGGUCCACCCUGGUUUGCAUUUGAAUGGGAGACUACAUGUAGGAGCACUGUCAGAUAUUCCCCUUCUUCGGGGAUGGGGCCACUCUGGGAUGAGCAUCUGAGGUCCCCAGUUCCCUCCCUAGCAGCAUCUCCAGGACAGGGCUGAGAGAGACUCCUGCCUGCAGCCUUGGAGAAGCCACUGCCAGUCUGGGUAGACAAUCCUGAGCAAGAUGGACCAAGGGUCUGACUCAGUAGAAGGCCGCUUCCUAGGUUCCUCUGUUUUUAGCAGGACAGGCAGCCACCAAUUUGCCUGCCCCCCUCUCCUGCUGCUGGACAUAAAGGCCCCAGUUCUCACUGUUCCUCCAAAGAAAGAGCCCGCCUUUCACUUACCACCUGCGGGUCGAGCUGAGACCUGAGCAGCGCCUCCACCAAUUCAGGAGGGAGGGAGGCGUUUGUCCGAAGGAACUGGGAGAACGUCUCGUUGUCUUUCAGGUACGUCCUAACCUGGGCAGCUGGCAAAGAGAAAAGGGGCACAAAAGGAGCAAGAUCUAAGCUUACUAUCAGACCAGCACAGAGGGAGGACACGCUUGUGUUUCCAGGCUAAGCCCAUCACAACGGAGUCCAGCCAAUUCCAGCUCCCUCGGACUCAGCAGGGGUGCCCAACUUCAGUCUGCCAGGUAUUGCUGGACUACAACUCCCAUCAUCCCUGGCUACUGGUCACUGUGGCUGGGGACGUCAGGACUCGUAUCCCUGGGGUGCCCAACUGCGGCCCUGCAGUUGCUGUUGGACUGCAAAUCCCAUCAUCCCCAGCUGCAGUGGCCAAUAGUCUGGGAUGAUGGGAGUUGUAGUCCAACAGCCCCUGCAGGGCCGUUGGUGUCAGGCUCUUGGUACAGCCAUCCACCUUCCACCGCCAAAGGAGGUUUUAUUUAUUUUAUUUCAUUUUUUACAUCUAUAUCCCGCUUUUUCCUCCGAGGAGCCCCGAGCGGUGUACAUGGUUAUGUUUAUCCUCACAACAACCCUGUGAGGUAGGUUAGGCUGAGAGAUGCAUGACUGGCCCGGAGUCACCCAGCUAGUUUCAUGGCUGAAUGGAGUUUCGAACUCGGGUCUUCCCAGUCCUAGACCAACACUCUAACCCCAAGGAUACAACAAUCGUAACCGGCAAAGAACCAAAGGCUCCUGUGUUUUUUUGGGAGGCAGUCUAGGCAACAUCAACACAGCACCUUUCACCAUAAGAACAUAACAUAAGAACAGCCCUGCUCGAUCAGGCCCAAGAAGAUGAUGAUGAUGAUGAUGAUGAUGAUGAUGAUGAUGAAUUCGAUUUCUAUACUGCCCUUCCAAAAAUGGCUCUGGGUGGUUUAUACAGAGGAAUAAUAAAUAAAUAAGAUGGAUUUCUGUCCAGCAUCCUGUUUCGCACAGUGGCCCAACAGUUUCCUCUGGGGAGCCCACAGGCAAGAAAUAUGUGCAUGCCCUCUCUCCUGCGGUUGCUUUCCUGCAACUGGUAUUUAGAGGCAUCUUGUCGCUGAGGCUGGAGGUGGCCUGUAGCCACGGAGAGACCUGUCCUCCAUGAAUUUACCUGAGCCCCUUUAAAGCUAUGCAAGCUGAAUAAUCAUUCAUUCAUUGCCGCCAUUCCCCCUCCCGCCGCCGCCAGCCUCCAUGCUGCGGCUGGUCUCCCCGGCCAGGCAAGGGCCCCAAGGUCUUCCCCCUGCCCAGCUUCGGCGGCUGCCGCCACGUCGGCCAGCUUCCCCCGCCACCUCUUCCCCUGCCCGCCUUUGCGGUGGCCACUUCUCCUCGGCCGCCGCUUCUCCUUCUCCUGUCCAUCAUGGCCGCCUGGUCCCAGCGGUCAUGUCUCCCUCGGCGUGUUCUGGGCAUGCGCUCCGCGCAUGCCCAGAACAGCCAAGGGAGACACAGACGCACGCCAAGCUCUUUAUUAUAUAGGAUAUGUCCCGCCUGACCCCAAAGGCUCUAGGCGGUUCACAAAAAUAAACACAAGAAAAACAAAAAAACCCAAAACAAAUGGUUAAAAACAGCAAUAUAAAAAUUGAAAACAUCCCGAGAUUACUAAAAAACCUGGUUGAAAGAAAUCCAGUUCAUUCCAUUCCACAAUACCAAAUGCACUUCCAUCCCGAAUGAUCGUUCAUUCAUUUCGCCAUUUGCCAACCGGACAACCUCACUGUAGCAGCAUCAACGUAGGCACCCUCCCAGGACCUCCGUGCAUGGGCAGGGAGCAGCCAUGCGCAGGCCUCACCUGUCCGCUGACUGGCGUUGCCGCUGAGUUGGCGCAAUGCGUUCAGGAGCUGGAAGAAACCGCUCUGUGCCUGCUGGUCAUGCGCAUGGAGAAGCACCGUCCGAGCAUCCGCAAAGAGGCGGGAGAUGCUGGGAAGGGGAGGAACCAAGGCAGGCUGGGGACAGCACUGUAAGCAAGAACACCUGAUAUUAUUCUGCAUGGCAUGGACCAAAACCAGUUCAAAGUUUAAAAGGUGAGGUGGGGUGGAUCUGACGAAGCCAAAGGCUACAAUGAGUAGUUCAGUUCCCUGACAGCAAAUUGAUCGUUGCUGAAAGCAUGGAAGUUGUGCUUUGUAAAAGGCAUUUGAUCAUCUCCCUCACCCCCGCCAGCUUAAAAAAGAGCAGGUAAAUACAGGUUACCAAAAAGGAAAAGGACUCUUCCCAAAAGGAAAAGGGAGAAAAGAAAUAACGGGAUCUGAAGCCCAAGGUUUAAUACUGUAUUUGCCUGAAUCCAAGACUAGAUUUUCCCCCAAGGUUUUUUUGGUAUUAGAAAUUGGGAGGUCGUCUUAAAUACAGAGUCCUGUUCCUUUUGGGUAAAUGGCAUUUCAACUCCCCGGCAGCAGACCCAUUAUAGAUGAAAGCAUGAACAUUGUGCCUUAUUUUUUAAAAAAAACCUUUUCGAAUACUCCCGCCACUUAAAAAUAGAGGUUACAUACAGGUUCUACUUGCAUUUCUCCAAAAAUGAGGACUCUAAAAGCAAAGCACUUGUGGGGUGAGAAACUAGUCCUGAGUUCAGGUAAACACAGUAAAACUUCAAUUGUUUUAAUUGUGUUUGUAAUAGUUUUAACAUUUUAAAUUUUAAUUGCUGAAAUAUUUUAAUCUUUUUAUCAGUUUUUAAAAUUGUUUUGUGUAGACUGCCCAGAGACUUGUGUUUUGGGCGGCAUACAAAUGUGUUAAACAAAACACAAAGCACAAAAACACAAAGCACACAAAACACACUGCUGUUUUUUGUGGUUUGGGAACCACUAACCAUUUUUUUAAAAUACAUUUUUCAUUCCACGCUCCACCCAGCCCUCCUGCUUCUUCUAUCUAGGGUGCAGUGUGUGGGGGCCACAGAAACCCACCAGAGAGCCCGGACUCACAUGGAAUUGUUGAAGUUCCCCACCACGCCUGGGGCCUCCCCGGCUGUCGGGUACCGGAAGCAAGGAUUGUUCACGUUGCAGACGAUGCCCUGAAGCCAGGCCAGCGUCCCAGCCGAGGGCAGCGCUUUGUUGGGGAAGUGGCCUGCGGGAGAAGAGAUGCAGCAGGGGCUGCCACUCCAGACUUACAUUCAUGCUGCUCGAACGGCGGGUGAGACUGGCGCACCGAAAUGAGGAUGAAGAAUAAAAAGAGGGGCCAGAGGACUUCAAUGAUCAGCUGGACCUGGGGGAGAGAAAGAGGCAGGUACUGGGCAGACAGACAGCCAGUUAGGGGCAGAGGACGCUUGAGUCAGACCCAUGGUCCAUCUAGCUCAGGAUUGUCUAGGAUCAGGGAUUCUCAGUGUGUGGGUCCUCAGAUGUAAUUGGACUUCAAUUCCCAUAAUGCCCAACCAAAGGCCACUGGGGCUGGGGAUUAUGGGAGUUGAAGUCCAAUAACAUCUGGGGGGACCCACAUGUUGAGAAACCCUGGUCUACGUAAAGGUAAAGUGCGCCGUCGAGUCAGUGUCGACUUGUGGCAACUGCAGAGCCCUGUGGUUGUCUUUGGUAGAAUACAGGAGGGGUUGACCAUCGCCUCCUCCCAUGAAGUAUGAGAUGAUGCCACCUUCCUAUAUCGCUGCUGCCCGAUAUAGGUGUCUGGGAAACAUACCAGCGGAGAUUCGAACCGGCAACCUCUGGCUUGAUAAUCAAGUCAUUUCCCCGCUGCGCCAUUAGGUGGCUACAUCAGGGAUCAUCAGUGCUGGGAUUGCAGAUGCUAUUGGACUUCAACUCCCAUAAUCCCCAGCCCCAGUGGCCUUUGGUUGGGGAUUGUGGGAGCUGAAGUCCAGCAACAUCUGGGGACCCAACAUUGAGAAUCGCUGGGCUACACAGACUGGCAGCGGCUCCUCCAAGGUUUCGGGCAGGAGUCUCUCCCAGGCCUAUCUGGAGAUGCUGCUGGAGAGGGAAUUUGGAACCUUCAGCCUGCAAGCAGGUAGGCAAGUGCUCUUCCCAGAGUGGCCCCAUCCCUUAAGGGGAAUAACAUAUUUGCCUGAAUCCAAGACUAGGAUUUUUUCCAAGCUCUUUGCUGUUAUUGCUAGCUUGGUGUAGUGGUUAGAGUGCUGGACUAAGGCUGGGGAGACCCGAGUUCAAAAAGUUCUAAAAACUGUGCUUACUACCAUAGGAUCAGCUCUCUUCCUUCCAGUUAAAGAAAUUAAUUUUAAAUUGACUCUAUCGGCAUAAAUUAAUAUACUGUAUACAGCUAGAACAAUUGUUUUGAACAGGAUUACAAAGAAAGCUUAGUUCUCUCAGUUUUAGAUGGUGCACAUAUUGCAGUUUCUGUCACCUUAAGAAGAGGCAUUCUCUUCUGUGAGAUCACACAGGUGGAAUGCCUCUCCCAAGGUGGCGGCACCACCACCCACGUGAGAUCACAGAGUGGAAAUGCCUCUCCCAAUGUGACAACCUUCCCUCCUGUGAGAUACUGGGGGGAUGCCAAGGUAGUGACAUUCCCACCUGUGAGAUCACAGAAGAACAAUGCCUCUUCCAAGGUGGUGGUAUUCCCUUCUGUGAGAAUGCAUCUUCCAACAUAACUCCUGCAAAUAUUGCAGCCCAAGGAAAUGACUCACUGUCUGUCGACGCCGAUAGGUGAAGUUCUUCCACAUCAACAACGCCAGCUGAAUGCCAAAACCCAUCCUGCGAGGCGGGACAAGGUCUCCCGCACCAUGCCCUGUUGCCAGCUGCACAGUUCUCCGUUUGGUGAGCUUUAAUGGAAAAGGGAAAACUGGUUAGCCUAUUUAUAUGGGAGGAAUUGUAUUCCACAAUUCCAAGUUAUUUUGUCUCCCGGGAACCUGCACCUUUUGGUUUUUUAAGUUUCCAGACUUUAUUGAUGGAUUUCUUCAAGGAUUUCUGGUCUCCUUUUGCAAACAAUACAGUAUAGUUCAAGGCAGAUCACAUCGAUAAAAUAAGCAAAUACAGGAUUAUUUAUUGAAGCAAACUAUAAGGCAACAAUAAUAAAAACAAAGAGGAGGAAGAGAGACUGUGGAGAUAUUCUGGGAAGCUUCGUGAAGUCUCCAAGAGAGAGGAUCGAACUUGAACUCAAGACUUUAGAAAACCACCAUCACCCCGCCCCAUGAUUAGUAGAAGCAAAGUAAACUCUGCAAAUUGGAUCAUGAUAUGCUAACAUGUGCAAGGGCAGACGAGUUGGUCUUGUGGAGCAAGCAUGAAAUGUCCCCUUUGCUAAGCAGGGCCCACCCUGGUUUAAAUCUGAAUGGGAGACUACAUGUGUGAGCAUUGUAAGAUCUUCCCCUCAGGGGAUGGGGCCACUCUGGGAAGAGCAUCUAAGUUCCAGGUUCCCUCCCUGGCAGCAUCUCCAAGAUAGGGCUGAGAGAGACUCCUGCCUGCAACCUUGGAGAAGCCGCUGCCAGUCUGGGUAGACAAUACUGAACGAGAUGGACCAAGGGUCUGACUCAGUAUAUGGCAGCUUCCUAUGUUCUUAUAUUUGCAUGACUUAAGAACAUAAGAACAGCCCUGCUGGAUCAGGCCCAAGGCCCAUCUAGUCCAGCAUCCUGUUUUGCACAGUGGCCCACCAGAUGCUGCUGGAAGCCACAGACAGGAGUUGAGGGCGUGCCCUCUCUCCUGCCAUUACGCCCCUGCAACUGGUACUCAGAAGCACCCUGCCCUUGAGGCUGGAGGUGGCCCACAGCCCUCUGACUAGUAGCCAUUGAUAGACCUCUCCUCCAUGAAGUCAUCCAAACCCUUCUUAAAGCCAUCCAGGUUGUUGGCUGUCACCACGUCCUGUGGCAGAGAGUUCCACAAGUGGAUCACGCCUUGUGUGGAAAAGUACUUCUGUUUUCUGGUCCUAAAUUUCCUGGCAAUCAAUUUCACAGGAUGACCCCUGGUUCUAGUGUGAUGUGAGAGGGAGAAGAGUUUCUCUCUGUCCACUUUCUCCACACCAUGCAUGAUUUUAUAGACCUCUAUCAUGUCUCCCCGCAGUCGUCUUUUUUCUAAACUAAAAACCCCCAGGUGUUGUAGUCUUGCCUCAUAAGAAAGGUGCUCUAUGCUCCUGAUAAUCUUGGUUGCCCUCUUCUGCACCUUUUCCAGUUCUACAAUGUUCUUUUUUAGAUGUGGUGAACAGAAUUGUACGCAGUACUCCAAGUGUGGUUGCACCAUAGUUUUGUAUAUGGGCAUUAUAAUAUUAGCCGUUUUAUUUUCAAUUCCCUUCCUAAUGAUCCCUAGCAUGGAAUUUGCCUUUUUCACAGCUGCUGCACAUUGAGUCGACACUUUCAAUGAGCUGUGUUUGGUAUCAUCUGCAAAUUUGGCCACCUCGCUGCUUUCCCCUGCUUCUAGAUCAUUUAUGAAGAAAUUAAAAAGCACCGGUCCCAGUACAGAUCCCUGGGGGACCCCACUUCUUAUUUCCCUCCAUUGCGAAAACUCUCCAUUGAUACCUACCCUCUGUUUCCUGUCUUUCAACCAGUUAGCAAUCCACACAUGUACUUGUCCCCUUAUCCCAUGACCGCUAAGUUUCCUCGGGAGUCUUUGAUGAGGAACUUUGAUGAGGACUUAUAGAGUCAUGCACUCAGUGGCUGACAUUCUGACUAAUUUACUAGAGGAAGCCCUACAAAAUGUAGUAGUACUUCCGAGUGACUCUUGAGUAGUACUAUUGAGUCACUUGGUCUUCAGACCGGCCAGUUUUCCUUGGUGGGGAAUUUUUCAUUCCUUUUUAGGAUAGAAACUGCCUAGACACCUGAGGAAACGGUUGAUGGUACUCCAAGAUUCCUGGAUUUUAUCUGUUAUUGUCCAAACUAGACCAAAACUGCUCUACGCUUCCCAUACCUGAAAGGGAUUGGAUCAGCAAUCACAGCUAUUUUGAAAAGCAUUUCAUUAGGUAUAAAGGUAAUGUUGUGCCCUCGGGUCGGUGUCGACUCCUGGUGACCACAGAGCCCUGUGGCUGUCUUUGGUAGAAUACAGGAGGGGUUGACCAUUGCCUCCUCCCACGCAAUAUGAGAAGAAGAAGAAGAAGAAGAAGAAGAAGAAGAAGAAGAAGAAGAAGAUGAUGAUGAUGCCUUUCAGCAUCUUCUGAUAUCGCUGCUGCCUGAUAGAGAUGUUUCCCAUAGUCUGGGAAACAUACCAGCGGGGAUUCAAACCAGCAACCUCUUGCUGGCUAGGAAAGUCAUUUCCCUGCUGCUUGUGAAAAGAAAAGAAAAAUGUUCUCCAAGGUGUUUAUGUGACUCUCCAGGAGGGGAGAAAUUACUUUUUUAAAGCAAUGUUGUGUUGACAGGAAACUGAGGAAGUCCACUUUAAAAGCAAGGAACAUUGCCCAAGGAACUAAGCCAGAAAAAUCCAAGAAGCGAGUGAGAAGAUUUAGCAUUCCACACGCCUACUCCGACUUAAGUCCCUGGAGCACAAGAGGCUUACUCCCAACUGGUUGGACUGGCCACUCAGCUUUCCCCAACAGGAUAAUAUAACGUCAUAUAUGCAUUAGUACCACUGGGGGAAAGGUGCAAAGCCAAGGUGGCAAAAGCCUUUUAAGGAGGUCCCACUGCCCCACCUGUUCCAUCCGAGGGUCUCUGGAGUCCCGUUGGAAGACACUCCAGCUUGGCACAGAGAACAAGACUGCACACCUGGUUCGGCCAAGGAAAUCCAGGCCCAAAGAGUUCCAGUAUACAAAUCUCAGAAAGCCACACAAAGAAAUCACUUUGCAAGAAUCAAGUCGUCCCAGAUACGGAUCAGAAAAUCUGCCCCACACCUGUUCCACUCCUUUAUUGCUCCCCUGUGCUCUGUGUGCCGCUCCUCCUGGAUUUCUGUUUAACAGGAAGGAUUUCUAAAAUCCGCCCUGGAAUUAGAGCAACCGUCUGUUGGCUGGUCAUUCCCUUCCCUUCCCAUCUUUUGUUCCUCUCCACAUGCAAGCGAGCAUGGAUAAAACACUACUAAAAAAAGCUAUCCUGCCAAGAUGAUUUCUGUGUAGUGUUUUUACCAAUGCUGGGGAGUGAGAAAAAGAGGGGGAUAUUUGCUCACAUACGUCCCACUUGUCAAUUUCCAAGACAGAUCUGGUUGCCCGCUGUGGGAAACCUUUCGCUCUGCUCUAGUGGAGCUCUUCUUUAGGUUCUCGGGCGUGCAAAAGUAAAACACAGCACAAAAAGAAAGUGGAUACAGUACGGGCAGUCCUUUCGUGAGGAGGUGACCUCAAGCAACAGACUAUUCAGGCCACAAUGGGGUGGCAAAAUGCCCCAUGUCAUUCCUUGCUACUAUGCAGGGGGAGGGAGGCGAUGUUUGGCAUCCUGCCUCAGCUGCAUAGGAUCUUGAGCAGACAUUCACACAUAUCCUCACAUCACCAUUGCUUUCUUCUAAUGUUUUACCCAUGUAAUACUCUUUGGAUCAAAGUUCUUUCCUGGGCUAUUAGCACUCUCUGAUUUAGCAAGGUAUACAAUAAAAGGAUUCCAUUGUGCCAGUCAUGACUGUUCAGCACGUAUUGGUCCAUACAAGUGAUGUCUAACAACAUUCCUUUGAAACAUUCAGCCAAAUGAAAAAUCUGGCUUCUGGAUUGCCAACAUAUUCUACUAUGUAACAUUAAAAUCAAUAAACAUAUUUAUACUGGUAGGUGAGGCCCUUCACUGAACAGGCAAUCAUUUUGCGUGGAUUACGCUUAUAGGAAAGUUCAAGACACGAAAUAGAUGUCACAGCAUAUUUUAUUACGGAAUUUGCAAAAAGAAAGUAAAAGCACAGUUUGAAAUGUGUAGGAUUUCAACUUCAGCCUUUACUCAUUUAUUUAAUAAUUACCAUACAUGGUAGAUUUGAAUCUGAGAAAGAUUUUCUGCUUCUCUCAUGCAUGAAGCCAUUUUUGAAUGACUGAAAUGACUACCAAGUGUUAAAAAUACGUUGAGAACAAUAACAGUUAAGAUCUGAUGAUUAUUAUAUUCAGAAUUUCAUUUUUUUAAAUACCAAAUAAAAAUUUAAAUCUUUCCCCCAGCA
This is a long non-coding RNA of Hemicordylus capensis (graceful crag lizard), 10787 nucleotides long. RefSeq lists it as uncharacterized. The record is from RefSeq and is a predicted model, not a curated record. Lineage: Eukaryota; Metazoa; Chordata; Lepidosauria; Squamata; Cordylidae. The transcript has 3 exons.